GACGAACGCUGGCGGCGUGCUUAACACAUGCAAGUCGAACGGAAAGGCCCUGCUUUUGUGGGGUGCUCGAGUGGCGAACGGGUGAGUAACACGUGAGUAACCUGCCCUUGACUUUGGGAUAACUUCAGGAAACUGGGGCUAAUACCGGAUAGGAGCUCCUGCUGCAUGGUGGGGGUUGGAAAGUUUCGGCGGUUGGGGAUGGACUCGCGGCUUAUCAGCUUGUUGGUGGGGUAGUGGCUUACCAAGGCUUUGACGGGUAGCCGGCCUGAGAGGGUGACCGGCCACAUUGGGACUGAGAGACGGACCAGAGUCCUACGGGAGGCAGCAGUGGGGAAUAUUGCACAAUGGGCGGAAGCCUGAUGCAGAAACGCCGCGUGCGGGAUGACGGCCUUCGGGUUGUAAAACGCUUUCGCCUGUGACGAAGCGUGAGUGACGGUAAUGGGUAAAGAAGCACCGGCUAACUACGUG
This 468-nucleotide ribosomal RNA is filed under the name uncultured bacterium. RNAcentral's name for it is "partial 16S ribosomal RNA". It matches the Rfam family "Bacterial small subunit ribosomal RNA", at positions 28 to 507 of the family's 1533-position model. The record is from RNAcentral.